CCUACGGGUGGCAGCAGUGAGGAAUAUUGGUCAAUGGACGCAAGCCUGAACCAGCCAAGUAGCGUGCAGGAUGACUGCCCUAUGGGUUGUAAACUGCUUUUACAUGGGGAUAAAACGCUCCACGUGUGGGGUUCUGUAGGUACCAUAUGAAUAAGGAUCGGCUAAUUCCGUGCCAGCAGCCGCGGUAAUACGGAGGGUCCGAGCGUUCUCCGGAUUUAUUGGGUUUAAAGGGAGCGUAGGUGGAUUGUUAAGUCAGUUGUGAAAGUUUGCGGCUCAACCGUCGGAUUGCAGUUGAAACGGGCCGUCUUGAGUACAGUAGAGGUAGGCGGAAUUCGUGGUGUAGCGGUGAAAUGCAUAGAUAUCACGAGGAACCCCGAUUGCGAAGGCAGCUUGCUGGACUGCAACUGACGCUGAGGCUCGAAAGUGCGGGUAUCAAACAGGAUUAGAUACCCUUGUAGUC
This 460-nucleotide ribosomal RNA is filed under the name uncultured bacterium. RNAcentral's name for it is "partial 16S ribosomal RNA". It matches the Rfam family "Bacterial small subunit ribosomal RNA", at positions 338 to 795 of the family's 1533-position model. The record is from RNAcentral.